This 75-nucleotide transfer RNA is filed under the name Lentibacillus halodurans. Its description in RNAcentral is "tRNA_Glu_TTC". It matches the Rfam family "tRNA". From Rfam's summary of the family: Transfer RNA (tRNA) molecules are approximately 80 nucleotides in length. Their secondary structure includes four short double-helical elements and three loops (D, anti-codon, and T loops). The record is from RNAcentral. Lineage: Bacteria; Bacillati; Bacillota; Bacilli; Caryophanales; Bacillaceae.
GGCCCGUUGGUCAAGUGGUUAAGACACCGCCCUUUCACGGCGGUAACACGGGUUCGAAUCCCGUACGGGUCACCU